Long non-coding RNA from Pelmatolapia mariae (spotted tilapia), 1253 nucleotides. RefSeq lists it as uncharacterized. The transcript is spliced from 2 exons. NCBI's taxonomy places the organism in Eukaryota, Metazoa, Chordata, Actinopteri, Cichliformes, Cichlidae. The record is from RefSeq and is a predicted model, not a curated record.
ACGAAGUCAUCUGUUUUUGUGUGCGUGUGUGCAUGUGUGAAGGUGAUCCUAGCUAAUCCGGUUUUAUAAAUGUCUGACAUAAUCUGUGUUCCACUCACAGUGUCCAGAACAGGGAGAAGGGAGGAAAAGAGGAGACGCAGAGAGAAGAGAGAGGGGGGAGAGAGAGAAAGACGGAGAGGGGGGCAUAAAAAGAGGAGCAGGAAGGAGAUGGCAGGAGGAUAAAUGAUAGAAAGGCUGAUGGGCUUAAGGAGUAUGACAGAAAGAAAGCGUGAGAAAGAAUGCAGGGAAAUAAGACAUGGAUGAAGGAGAACAGAGCCAGGUGGAGCACCUGCUUUAGAUAAAGAGAACAUGCACGUCCGUGCACACCCAUCGUCGUGCCUGCAGCUGCAGUGCAGGCCGAACGGCUGCGAUUGGAGAGAGGAGAGGAAACCCGCCCCUGUUUGAUUGGACCAGAGCUGAGACUCAACAUAAUAUCACCUGCAUAAGAGGAGGACUCUUGUGUUGCUAGGCUUGUUGAAAAUGAAUAUUUCUUCAGUUAACACAAGGAAAAAAUAAAUAGAUACAUAGAUAAAAGAUCAAUAAAAAGACAAAAAAAUGAAAGGAGGGGAAAGACAUGUCAUGAGGACAGGGCUACAGAUCAGCAGUGAGGCUCAGAUGAAUGUGUAAUGUAACAGUCACUUCUCUCUGCAUCACUCUCACAUACCAAACAUUUUAGCAGAGGCUGGAUGACAUCCUGUCAACAGCUCAUUGCCGAUAAUAACUAAGUAAGUACUUAUGACACGAUAACAUCAUUCAUGGAAAAGAGAAGCAGGGAGAUUUGAGCUCACUCGGGGAGAUAUUUAAAGGGCAUGUUGGACAUCCCAUCUAUUUAAAUGAAAAAAUGUGGUGACAGUUAAAGGGAGACAUUCGGUAAGUACAGAGUACAGGGAACCACUGUUUAACCGAUCGAGAUCAGGACUUCCCCGGGAAACACAGUUGCAAAUAUUGCACACAGAGACCCAAUGCAUAUUAGGCAAUACUGACGUUACUGCUACUAUUUUUCUCUGUACGAGAUACACUCAUCCACUCACACAUAUUCAUGCAGUGUUUUAUUGUUUCUUUCAAGUGUUGCUGACAUGUUACUGCCACGGCGAGCACAGUAAGCUUUUCUAAAUAGAGAUACUUUCGUUUGGAAGAACAUUGUUAGGUUUCUCUAGGUCUCUAAGCCUGAAGCAUGAAAUAAUUUCCAUAAUUUUCUAUUUUUUUUUAUUUUU